Rhineura floridana is the source of this 75-nucleotide non-coding RNA. Lineage: Eukaryota; Metazoa; Chordata; Lepidosauria; Squamata; Rhineuridae. The record is from the annotation of a RefSeq genome assembly.
GGAAGGGCUGUAGCUCAGUGGUAGAGCAUCUGCCUCCUAUGCGGAAGGUCACAGGUUCAAUCCCUGGCAUUUCCA